Cebus imitator (Panamanian white-faced capuchin) is the source of this 106-nucleotide ribosomal RNA. The record is from Ensembl. NCBI's taxonomy places the organism in Eukaryota, Metazoa, Chordata, Mammalia, Primates, Cebidae.
AACUGUAGUACUAAACUAGAUGGUCACAGGCCACAUCUAGCCUGCAGGGUCAGGCCUGGUUAGUACUGGAUGGGAGACCACCUAGGAUCAUCUGGUGCUAUAGGUC